This 454-nucleotide ribosomal RNA is filed under the name uncultured bacterium. Its description in RNAcentral is "bacterial SSU rRNA". It matches the Rfam family "Bacterial small subunit ribosomal RNA", at positions 340 to 787 of the family's 1533-position model. The record is from RNAcentral.
UACGGGAGGCAGCAGUGGGGAAUAUUGCACAAUGGGCGCAAGCCUGAUGCAGCCAUGCCGCGUGUAUGAAGAAGGCCUUCGGGUUGUAAAGUACUUUCAGUCGUGAGGAAGGUGUUAAGGUUAAUAACCUUAGCAAUUGACGUUAGCGACAGAAGAAGCACCGGCUAACUCCGUGCCAGCAGCCGCGGUAAUACGGAGGGUGCGAGCGUUAAUCGGAAUUACUGGGCGUAAAGGGCACGCAGGCGGUUAAUUAAGUUGGAUGUGAAAUCCCCGGGCUUAACCUGGGAAUGGCAUUCAAGACUGGUUAGCUAGAGUCUUGUAGAGGGGGUAGAAUUCCAUGUGUAGCGGUGAAAUGCGUAGAGAUGUGGAGGAAUACCGGUGGCGAAGGCGGCCCCUGGACAAAGACUGACGCUCAUGUGCGAAAGCGUGGGGAGCAAACAGGGAUUAAAGUACC